Long non-coding RNA from Galeopterus variegatus (Sunda flying lemur), 500 nucleotides. RefSeq lists it as uncharacterized. NCBI's taxonomy places the organism in Eukaryota, Metazoa, Chordata, Mammalia, Dermoptera, Cynocephalidae. The record is from RefSeq and is a predicted model, not a curated record. The transcript has 4 exons.
CUGGCUUCUCGGGAUGAGGCACACACCACAUCCAGAUUCCCUUGGUGUGAGACUGCACUGUGGAGCCCAGAGAGAAGCCUGCAAGGGAUGCUGACACUGUGCGUGGACAGAAGGGACUCGGCAGAGCUUUGCUGGGCACUCACCCUUUUUCUGCCCAGCCAGCUUGUUCAUCAGAGCGGAAAUUCAACACUGGGAGAAGCGAGUGGGGAAGACCAGAGGCUACCAACCCUGUCCAGUGGAAGGAGCAGUGGCUCAGAGAUGUUACGCAGGAGAGACACAGUCCAUAAAAACCGAGAGUUUCUGAAGUUCUCCCCAAAAGAACUGACUUGAUUUGAAGCAGCGUGUGAGGACGUUCAAGCAUAGAGACUUGAAAAUUUAUUGCUAGCAGGGCCUAUAACAUAUAGAAGUGCAAUAAACUUAGAAGAAACAGCACAGAGGAGGUAGGUCUGAGCAAAGCUGUAUUGGAAUAAAGAAGUAACACCAGCUGUCGACUUGAACCC